GACGAACGCUGGCGGCGUGCCUAAUACAUGCAAGUCGAGCGCUGAGGGUCGGUACUUGUGCCAACUGAGUGAGCAGCGAACGGGUGAGUAACGCGUGGGGAAUCUGCCUUUCAUCGGGGGAAAACAUGGGAACACGAGUGAUAAUACCGCAUAAAAACUUUAAACACAGGGUUUAAGGUAGAAAGAUGCAAUUGCGUCACGCAAGGAUGAUCUCGCGUUGUGUUAGCUAGUUGGUGAGGUAAAGGCGCACCAAGGUGAUGUUGCAUAGCCGCCGUGAGAGGGUGAUUGGCCGGAUUGGGACUGAGACACGGCCCAAAGUGCCACGGGAAGCAGCAGGAGGGCAUCUUCGGCCAUCGGUGGAAGAUUGACCGAGAAACGCCGCGGGAGUGAAGAAGGUUGUCGCGUCGUAAAACACGGUUUGUAGGGAAGAACGCUCGUGCGAGUGUAAAGCUCAUUAAGUGACGGUAACUACCCAGAAAGCGACGGCUAACUACGUG
RNAcentral lists this ribosomal RNA (497 nucleotides) under uncultured bacterium. RNAcentral's name for it is "partial 16S ribosomal RNA". It matches the Rfam family "Bacterial small subunit ribosomal RNA", at positions 28 to 507 of the family's 1533-position model. The record is from RNAcentral.